Long non-coding RNA from Mytilus californianus (California mussel), 466 nucleotides. RefSeq lists it as uncharacterized. NCBI's taxonomy places the organism in Eukaryota, Metazoa, Mollusca, Bivalvia, Mytilida, Mytilidae. The record is from RefSeq and is a predicted model, not a curated record. The transcript is spliced from 3 exons.
GCGAAUAAUUAUCGAAAAACAAAAAACAAUAAUCAAUAUUGCUUUAUUUCACAAUAUAAAAGGUAUGCCAAGAAACAGGAGGAAAACAAAAACCUGAAAAAGGAAAUCCAUUCUCUAAGGGAUAGUAUUCUUAAGAGUAAUCAGAAAAAUUUCAAACCAUGGACAGAUCGAUCUGGGAACAAUAUGCAAUAUCGGGGAGAAAGGAAAGAAUCGACGACACAGAAAACGUCUCUGGAUAAGAAUCUGUUAUGUCCUGAUUGUAACUUUCGCAAUAUUUUUGAGACAAAGUUUUGUGAAUGCUGUGGGAGUACACGUAAAAACUAGUAUGCGAAUGUGUAUAUUUAAGGGUACAGUUUAGAUUAAGAAAAUGAUUUAUGCAUGUCAUUCCCGUCAUACUAGUCGGAUUUAUGUCAAACUUCUGUUUUCCAGUCAAUCUGAUAUAUUUUCCAUUUUUGAUGUACAAUAA